This 68-nucleotide transfer RNA is filed under the name Gopherus agassizii (Agassiz's desert tortoise). RNAcentral's name for it is "tRNA-Arg". Lineage: Eukaryota; Metazoa; Chordata; Testudines; Testudinidae. The record is from RNAcentral.
AUAACUAGUCUAACACAAGACAACUAAUUUCGACUUAGUCAAUCGUGACUAAACUUCACGGCUAUCAA